UGUUGGGUUGACGAACCUGACAUGGGAGUGACUGAAUAAUCUUUCUGGCAUAUAGCUGGAUAAGGUGAUGAGACACAGGUGGUGCUGCUGCGAAAGCAGAAUCGUCUUACCAGACGGGUCUCAGGCAAGGACGUAAAAUUUACUACUGUAGUAAUGCCCGUUCUUUGUUGGUAAUACAGGAAUCCAACCUCCCACCCC
This 198-nucleotide non-coding RNA is filed under the name unclassified sequences. RNAcentral's name for it is "manA RNA". It matches the Rfam family "manA RNA". From Rfam's summary of the family: manA RNA has been located in 5'UTR regions of genes of mannose or fructose metabolism. The record is from RNAcentral.